Long non-coding RNA from Passer domesticus (house sparrow), 674 nucleotides. RefSeq lists it as uncharacterized. The record is from RefSeq and is a predicted model, not a curated record. The transcript is spliced from 4 exons. Lineage: Eukaryota; Metazoa; Chordata; Aves; Passeriformes; Passeridae.
AUGAGUGACACCUGUGGCAUGGCCGCCUGUAGUUUUUCUCAGGCCUUUAGGGAGGGUUUCUGCAGUGGAAAUGAGAGAGUCUUGCAAGGCCCUGGGGUGUUCCCCCACCUUUCCAGGGAUGUUUCCCAGGGCCUGAAAAGAGUCUGGAGUGUGACCAGGAGCCAGCCCAGAGCUCCCCAGGCUGCUGUGCAUCUUUAGCUUUAUCCAUUCACAUCCGACUCCCACAAACUUACCUGACCCCCUUGCAAUGCCCAGUUCCCUGAGGCAGAAGGGGACUCCAGCGCACCAUGGAAAUGGUUCUUAUCUCUGCUCCCUUCUAGAUGAGGUGUCUGGGAAGACUUCUCCAUUAGCUUGGCUGCAUAAAGUGUUGGUCCUAUCUGAGCCCCUCUCAGGUGUGCCUGCAGGGAGGAUUUCUCCAGCUCCUUUGGUGAUUUCUACACAGAAGCCUGGCUCCCAUCGCAGGGGUCCUCCGAGGGGAAAGAACAAAGGCAAAGGACACCAGAAAGCCCAUGAGCCAUCCAAAAACAUGAGGCAAAUGCUGAAAGAAUUGCUGCAGGCAGGACAAGAGAAGGACAAAAAAGCUGUGCGGAAGGCGGCGUUUCCCAGAGGAAGCAGUGGCUCCAUGCCAGCCUCUGCUGCAGGAAGGGAGGCGAUGCCAGGCACAGGCCCAGGAG